CCUACGUGGGGCAGCAGUGAGGAAUAUUGGUCAAUGGGCGCGAGCCUGAACCAGCCAAGUAGCGUGAAGGAUGACUGCCCUACGGGUUGUAAACUUCUUUUAUAAAGGAAUAAAGUGAGGCACGUGUGCCUUUUUGUAUGUACUUUAUGAAUAAGGAUCGGCUAACUCCGUGCCAGCAGCCGCGGUAAUACGGCGGAUCCGAGCGUUAUCCGGUUUUAUUGGGUUUAAAGGGAGCGUAGAUGGGUUGUUAAGUCAGUUGUGAAAGUUUGCGGCUCAACCGUAAAAUUGCAAUUGAUACUGGCAGUCUUGAGUACAGUUGAGGUAGGCGGAAUUCGUGGUGUAGCGGUGAAAUGCUUAGAUAUCACGAAGAACUCCGAUUGCGAAGGCAGCUUACUAAACUGCCACUGACAUUGAUGCUCGAAAGUGUGGGUAUCAAACAGGAUUAGAUACCCUUGUAGUC
RNAcentral lists this ribosomal RNA (460 nucleotides) under uncultured bacterium. RNAcentral describes it as "partial 16S ribosomal RNA". It matches the Rfam family "Bacterial small subunit ribosomal RNA", at positions 338 to 795 of the family's 1533-position model. The record is from RNAcentral.